Molecule: ribosomal RNA, 252 nt
Filed under: uncultured bacterium
Lineage: Bacteria
Description: partial 16S ribosomal RNA
Rfam family: Bacterial small subunit ribosomal RNA
Source: RNAcentral
UACGUAGGGGCUAGCGUUGUCCGGAAUCAUUGGGCGUAAAGAGCGUGUAGGCGGCCCGGUAAGUCCGCUGUGAAAGUCGGGGGCUCAACCCUCGGAUGCCGGUGGAUACUGUCGGGCUCGAGUACGGAAGAGGCGAGUGGAAUUCCUGGUGUAGCGGUGAAAUGCGCAGAUAUCAGGAGGAACACCGGUGGCGAAGGCGACAUCCUGGACCGGUAUUGACGCGUGAGGCGCGAAAGCCAGGGAGCAAACGGG